This 617-nucleotide ribosomal RNA is filed under the name uncultured bacterium. RNAcentral's name for it is "bacterial SSU rRNA". The stretch from base 1 to 524 matches the Rfam family "Bacterial small subunit ribosomal RNA", at positions 338 to 873 of the family's 1533-position model. The record is from RNAcentral.
CCUACGGGAGGCAGCAGUGGGGAAUAUUGCACAAUGGGCGAAAGCCUGAUGCAGCGACGCCGCGUGAGGGAUGACGGCCUUCGGGUUGUAAACCUCUUUCAGCAGGGAAGGAGCGCAAGUGACGGUACCUGCAGAAGAAGCACCGGCUAACUACGUGCCAGCAGCCGCGGUAAUACGUAGGGUGCGAGCGUUGUCCGGAAUUAUUGGGCGUAAAGAGCUCGUAGGCGGCUUGUCGCGUCGGAUGUGAAAGCCCGGGGCUUAACUCCGGGUCUGCAUUCGAUACGGGCAGGCUAGAGUUCGGUAGGGGAGAUCGGAAUUCCUGGUGUAGCGGUGAAAUGCGCAGAUAUCAGGAGGAACACCGGUGGCGAAGGCGGAUCUCUGGGCCGAUACUGACGCUGAGGAGCGAAAGCGUGGGGAGCGAACAGGAUUAGAUACCCUGGUAGUCCACGCCGUAAACGUUGGGAACUAGGUGUGGGCGACAUUCCACGUCGUCCGUGCCGCNGCUACGCAUUAACGUUCCCGUCCCGUCGGGAGGUACGGCCGCGACGGACGUAAACCGUACGAAGGAAGUUAGACGGCGUGAGACGUGCCGAACGGACGACGACGAGGGAGGUAGG